AUUGAACGCUGGCGGCAUGCUUUACACAUGCAAGUCGAACGGUAACAGGCCUUCGGGUGCUGACUAGUGGCGGACGGGGGCGUAAUGCAUCGGAACGUGCCCAGAGGUGGGGGAUAACGCAUCAAAAGCUGUGCUAAUACCUCAUGUGAUCUGAGGUUUAGAGCGGGGGACCUAGCUGCAAUGUUUGGCCUCGCGCCUCUCGAACAGCCGAUGUCAGAUUAGGUAGUUGGUGGGGUAAAGGCCUACCAAGCCGACGAUCUGUAGCUGGUCUGAGAGGACGACCAGCCACACUGGGACUGAGACACGGCCCAGACUCCUACGGGAGGCAGCAGUGGGGAAUUUUGGACAAAGGGCGCAAGCCUGAUCCAGCAAUGCCGCGUGCGGGAAGAAGGCCUUCGGGUUGUAAACCGCUUUUGUACGGAAAGAAAAGGCUCUGGCUAAUACCUGGGGCUGAUGACGGUACCGGAAGAAUAAGCAACGGCUAACUACGUG
This 492-nucleotide ribosomal RNA is filed under the name uncultured bacterium. Its description in RNAcentral is "partial 16S ribosomal RNA". It matches the Rfam family "Bacterial small subunit ribosomal RNA", at positions 30 to 507 of the family's 1533-position model. The record is from RNAcentral.